RNAcentral lists this ribosomal RNA (502 nucleotides) under uncultured Glomus. RNAcentral describes it as "SSU rRNA". It matches the Rfam family "Eukaryotic small subunit ribosomal RNA", at positions 569 to 1074 of the family's 1831-position model. Lineage: Eukaryota; Fungi; Glomeromycota; Glomeromycetes; Glomerales; Glomeraceae. The record is from RNAcentral.
AGCAGCCGCGGUAAUUCCAGCUCCAAUAGCGUAUAUUAAAGUUGUUGCAGUUAAAAAGCUCGUAGUUGAAUUUCGGGAUCAAUAUGUCGGUCGUGCCUUCGGUACGUACUGGUAUCAUUGGUCUCUCCUUUCUGACGAACCAUGAUGUCAUUAAUUUGGUGUUAUGGGGAGUUAGGACUGUUACUUUGAAAAAUUAGAGUGUUUAAAGCAGGCUUUAGCUUGAAUACAUUAGCAUGGAAUAAUGAAAUAGGACGUUCGAACCUAUUUUGUUGGUUUCUAGGAUCAACGUAAUGAUUAAUAGGGAUAGUUGGGGGCAUUAGUAUUCAAUUGUCAGAGGUGAAAUUCUUGGAUUUAUUGAAGACUAACUACUGCGAAAGCAUUUUGCCAAGGAUGUUUUCAUUAAUCAAGAACGAAAGUUAGGGAAUCGAAGACGAUCAGAUACCGUCGUAGUCUUAACCAUAAACUAUGCCGAACUAGGGAUCGGAUGAUGUUAAUUUUUAAU